UUAUUAUAUUUUUAGUUUUACGAAAUUUUUUGACAAAACCAAUGGGUAGGAGGACGAAAAUAAAAAAAAAAAAAAAUGCUGCUGCUGAUUUUUUUUUAAAACCAACCGUUAAUAUCAAAUUUUUUUUUUAUUAUUUCACCAGGAGAUUUUCUACUAGUGUAACGAACUAUUUUUUUUUUCUUGACAAGGUUUGAAUUGAAAAUCAAUGUGCAACAACUUACUAAAUCACCAAGAGCAUAAAUUUAGAUUCUUUCAUGCAGUUAUGAACUAAAAUUUUUUUUUUUUUGCAUGAAAAACACUGG
This 302-nucleotide long non-coding RNA is filed under the name Mytilus galloprovincialis (Mediterranean mussel). The record is from RNAcentral. Lineage: Eukaryota; Metazoa; Mollusca; Bivalvia; Mytilida; Mytilidae.